Puccinia graminis f. sp. tritici is the source of this 86-nucleotide transfer RNA. It matches the Rfam family "tRNA". From Rfam's summary of the family: Transfer RNA (tRNA) molecules are approximately 80 nucleotides in length. The record is from Rfam. NCBI's taxonomy places the organism in Eukaryota, Fungi, Basidiomycota, Pucciniomycetes, Pucciniales, Pucciniaceae.
GCGUCUGUAGCCUAGUUGGUAAAGGCAGCACUUUAGUAUGUGUCUCAGCAUUGCUGAUGUUGUGAGUUCAAAUCUCACCAGACACA